GCUGGGUGUGGUGGUGCAUGCUUAUAAUCCUAGCAGCUCAGGAGGCUGAGGCAGGGGGAUCUCAAGUUCAAAGCCAGGCUCAGCAAGUUAGUGAAGCUCUAAGCAACUUAGUGAGAACCUGUCUCAA
Molecule: small RNA, 127 nt
Filed under: Marmota monax (woodchuck)
Lineage: Eukaryota; Metazoa; Chordata; Mammalia; Rodentia; Sciuridae
Source: RNAcentral